Molecule: ribosomal RNA, 440 nt
Filed under: uncultured bacterium
Lineage: Bacteria
Description: partial 16S ribosomal RNA
Rfam family: Bacterial small subunit ribosomal RNA
Source: RNAcentral
CCUACGGGAGGCAGCAGUGGGGAAUAUUGCACAAUGGGGGAAACCCUGAUGCAGCGACGCCGCGUGAGUGAAGAAGGAAUUCGUUAUGUAAAGCUCUAUCAGCAGGGAAGAAAAUGACGGUACCUGAGUAAGAAGCUCCGGCUAACUACGUGCCAGCAGCCGCGGUAAUACGGAGGGGGCAAGCGUUAUCCGGAUUUACUGGGUGUAAAGGGAGCGUAGACGGCAGUGCAAGUCUGGAGUGAAAGGCUGGGGCUCAACCCCCGGACUGCUCUGGAAACUGUACGGCUGGAGUGCAGGAGAGGUAAGUGGAAUUCCUAGUGUAGCGGUGAAAUGCGUAGAUAUUAGGAGGAACACCAGUGGCGAAGGCGGCUUACUGGACUGUAACUGACGUUGAGGCUCGAAAGCGUGGGGAGCAAACAGGAUUAGAUACCCGAGUAGUC